Molecule: transfer RNA, 76 nt
Filed under: Acinetobacter baumannii
Lineage: Bacteria; Pseudomonadati; Pseudomonadota; Gammaproteobacteria; Moraxellales; Moraxellaceae
Also listed under: 17 other names
Description: tRNA-Val(tac)
Rfam family: tRNA
About the family: Transfer RNA (tRNA) molecules are approximately 80 nucleotides in length. Their secondary structure includes four short double-helical elements and three loops (D, anti-codon, and T loops). Further hydrogen bonds mediate the characteristic L-shaped molecular structure. tRNAs have two regions of fundamental functional importance: the anti-codon, which is responsible for specific mRNA codon recognition, and the 3' end, to which the tRNAs corresponding amino acid is attached (by aminoacyl-tRNA synthetases). tRNAs cope with the degeneracy of the genetic code in two manners: having more than one tRNA (with a specific anti-codon) for a particular amino acid; and 'wobble' base-pairing, i.e. permitting non-standard base-pairing at the 3rd anti-codon position.
Source: RNAcentral
GGGCGAUUAGCUCAGUUGGUAGAGCAUCUCCCUUACAAGGAGGAGGUCACUGGUUCGAGCCCGGUAUCGCCCACCA